Jaculus jaculus (lesser Egyptian jerboa) is the source of this 106-nucleotide small nuclear RNA. The record is from RefSeq and is a predicted model, not a curated record. NCBI's taxonomy places the organism in Eukaryota, Metazoa, Chordata, Mammalia, Rodentia, Dipodidae.
GUUGGCUUCAGCAGCAACAUAUACUAAAAUUGGAAUGAUGCAGAGAAGAUUAGCAUGGCCCCUGCACAAGAAUGACAUGCAAAUUUAUGAAGUGUUCCAUAUUUUU